UGUAAGUCAGUUUAAGUAGAAUUUUUGUUUUUGGUGCAAAUGGUUAUCUUACAU
Molecule: transfer RNA, 54 nt
Filed under: Strongyloides stercoralis
Lineage: Eukaryota; Metazoa; Nematoda; Chromadorea; Rhabditida; Strongyloididae
Description: transfer RNA-Gln
Source: RNAcentral